Molecule: long non-coding RNA, 430 nt
Organism: Syzygium oleosum
Lineage: Eukaryota; Viridiplantae; Streptophyta; Magnoliopsida; Myrtales; Myrtaceae
Exons: 2
Source: RefSeq, a predicted model, not a curated record
UUUGUAGCUUGAAAGGUGUAAUGCUUUUGAGCUGUGAUCUUUCUGCUAAAACUCUUUCUAUAGCCAAGGUGAUACUCAUUGAAGGAGAGACCUUAAUACCAACAAGCUUGGGGACAAGCUUAUCCGAGGGACUUCUGUGGAUGGUCACGGUAUCUCUAAGUUGCGUGGUUUCAACCAAUCCUCUUUGGCUCGAGCGAGGGCCGUGUCUGCUUUUGAGGACAACAGUCAGGAUGUACAGCGGAGGGAACAUAAUCCUCUUGAGAGGAUUAUGUUCAAGUACAUUGAGCUAUGUGUUGAUACGCGGAGGGGGAGAUUUGCCAAGGAUGUUCAAGUACAUUGAGCUAUAUGUUCAAGUACAUGGAAAAUGUAGAUGAAUGUAUUUCAUUUUGAUAUUAUUAUAAUAUUUUGAUGUUAUUAAGUGCUUAAUCAA